RNAcentral lists this transfer RNA (88 nucleotides) under Parcubacteria group bacterium. RNAcentral describes it as "tRNA-Ser". It matches the Rfam family "tRNA". Rfam says of the family: Transfer RNA (tRNA) molecules are approximately 80 nucleotides in length. RNAcentral also lists the same sequence under 2 other names. The record is from RNAcentral.
GGAGAGGUGGCUCGAGUGGUUGAAGGCGGCUGUCUUGAAAACAGCUAAGGGGGAAACUCCUUCGAGGGUUCGAAUCCCUCCCUCUCCG